CCUACGGGAGGCAGCAGUGAGGAAUAUUGGUCAAUGGGCGUAAGCCUGAACCAGCCAAGUCGCGUGAGGGAUGAAGGUUCUAUGGAUCGUAAACCUCUUUUAUAAGGGAAUAAAGUGUGGGAAGCGUCCUGUUUUGUAUGUACCUUAUGAAUAAGGAUCGGCUAACUCCGUGCCAGCAGCCGCGGUAAUACGGAGGAUCCGAGCGUUAUCCGGAUUUAUUGGGUUUAAAGGGUGCGUAGGCGGCCUUUUAAGUCAGCGGUGAAAGUUUGGGGCUCAACCAUAGAAUUGACGUUGAAACUGGGAGGCUUGAGUAUGUUAGAGGCAGGCUGAAUGCGUGGUGUAGCGGUGAAAUGCUUAGAUAUCACGAAGAACCCCGAUUGCGAAGGCAGCCUGCCAAGCCAUGACUGACACUGAUGCACGAAAGCGUGGGGAUCAAACAGGAUUAGAUACCCCUGUAGUC
RNAcentral lists this ribosomal RNA (460 nucleotides) under uncultured bacterium. RNAcentral describes it as "partial 16S ribosomal RNA". It matches the Rfam family "Bacterial small subunit ribosomal RNA", at positions 338 to 795 of the family's 1533-position model. The record is from RNAcentral.